This 200-nucleotide long non-coding RNA is filed under the name Nicotiana benthamiana. RNAcentral describes it as "long non-coding RNA (NBEN_LNC000834)". The record is from RNAcentral. Lineage: Eukaryota; Viridiplantae; Streptophyta; Magnoliopsida; Solanales; Solanaceae.
UGGAUCUCAUUCUUCUGACUUGCCUCAUUUGCAACACUCUGUUGAAGUGGUACCUCUUUUUGGAUAGUAACAGUUUGCGCUGGAGCUUUGGUUCUCCAUUCCUGAGUUACGUUUGCCUUCUUCAUUUGAGUAGGUUGGUGUGUGUUUAACUUCAUUUGGGCCGAGCAGCUAUGACCAAUAAUUUGACACUUUUCACAAUA